GCCGGGCGUGGUGGCUCACGCCUGUAAUCCCAGCACUUUGGGAGGCUGAGGUGGGUGGAUCACCUGAGGUCAGGAGUUCGAGACCAGUCUGGCCAACAUGGUGAAACCCCAUCUCUA
Molecule: non-coding RNA, 117 nt
Organism: Gorilla gorilla gorilla (western lowland gorilla)
Lineage: Eukaryota; Metazoa; Chordata; Mammalia; Primates; Hominidae
Rfam family: Metazoan signal recognition particle RNA
About the family: The signal recognition particle (SRP) is a universally conserved ribonucleoprotein. It is involved in the co-translational targeting of proteins to membranes. The eukaryotic SRP consists of a 300-nucleotide 7S RNA and six proteins: SRPs 72, 68, 54, 19, 14, and 9.
Source: Rfam